RNAcentral lists this long non-coding RNA (1076 nucleotides) under Neogale vison (American mink). Its description in RNAcentral is "Neovison vison (American mink) lncRNA (ENSNVIG00000000709.1)". The record is from RNAcentral. Lineage: Eukaryota; Metazoa; Chordata; Mammalia; Carnivora; Mustelidae.
UCUCCAGGUAAGUGGCUCAUUCUCCUGCCUUUGAGGAAGGCAAUUGGAAUGCCCAGCUUGCUUCAGGCUUCCUCAGACCCUUACUCUUUCUCUCUCUCUUUUUUUUAACGUUCAUUUGUCUCCAGUCUAAUGCUGAGUAUGUUGCCUAAUGUCCUGGGUGGGUGCGUCUGACUUCUGUCUCUGCAGUGGCAAAAAGCACAUGGGGACAGGCUGAACACAGGGACCAUCGGGAUCCUUUGUGCAGGGACAAGAGAACUGGAAGAAUGAGAGAAAGAUUGUCGGGGAGGAAGUAGCUGGCCCAGCAUCCCCGUCAUCAGGAGGGACACACAGAUAAACGCUUGUUCCAAUAUCAAGUUGUAGGUUCUGUAGGAUCAAAUUCUUUGAACAAUUUUAGAAAUCAAAAUGUUACUAUGAACCAGGACCAGAGAGAACCCAGGGCAGCUGAAGACCGAGGCCCACGUUUACUGUUCGACUGAAGCAUAAGACGAAUCCAGGGCUAACCAUGGCUACCAUCAAGCUUUCCCUGGAGACCUCAGGGACCCAUGCUCCCUGCAAUGUUCCGACCUUCCAGCCCUAGAUAGAGGCCCCAAAGUGGUGGCUGGAGCUCCAGCCAACACCUCUGCGUUCCCACCAGCUGGUGAAGGAAGUGAUGGAAAGAGCAUGGCUUCUCCCUUUUCAGGAUACCUCAUGGAAACGCCAUCCCACACCUUCUAGAACUUGAUCACAUGGCAACAGCCAACUGCAGGGGGUGGUAAACAGUUAUUUAGCUGGAGGGCCAUGGGCCUCACUAAGAAUCAGUGGUUUAUUAUAAAGGAAUAGGGAAGUGUUGGGCAGUAAUGAGUGAUCUCUGGCCACAGCUGAAUUGAAGGAUCAAUUUUUAUAGAUUUCUUUGUAAAAAGGGUGGGCUGAGGACUCUAGGGACAACGGUGCUGAGCCUUCUUCCUGGCCUGUGGGCUUCCAGGCCGCCUUGCCCUGUGGUCUCAGGGGCGCUGACAUUCACUCCGUUCCCCAGGAGUCCGUCUGGCCAGCCUCCAGGUGCACUGAAGGUUUCCAGGGCUCUUUUCUUUGAUCUUAAG